ACUUGAGUCCUCCAGAUAAGUUUCCUGAUCAGUCAGGUGUGGAACUGAUCGAGCAAACUUGGGGGGGAAAAACAGAACUUGUAAGAAACUUUUGUCAAUCAUUACUUUAAAGAAAGAAAGAACCCCCUUUCCAUGAAUCAACAUGCAGUCCUUCUUGCACCCACCACAUGCUUCGUUUUCGCAUUCCAUCUCCUCCCUAUACAGAGUAUGCUUCCCCUAACAACUUCUAAAUCCUGGAGAGG
This 242-nucleotide unclassified non-coding RNA is filed under the name Hevea brasiliensis (rubber tree). The record is from RNAcentral. Lineage: Eukaryota; Viridiplantae; Streptophyta; Magnoliopsida; Malpighiales; Euphorbiaceae.